This 479-nucleotide ribosomal RNA is filed under the name uncultured bacterium. RNAcentral describes it as "bacterial SSU rRNA". It matches the Rfam family "Bacterial small subunit ribosomal RNA", at positions 29 to 507 of the family's 1533-position model. The record is from RNAcentral.
AUGAACGCUAGCGGCAGGCUUAACACAUGCAAGUCGAGGGUAGAAGGAGCUUGCUCCUUUGAGACCGGCGCACGGGUGCGUAACGCGUAUGCAAUCUACCUUUUGCAGAGGGAUAGCCCAGAGAAAUUUGGAUUAAUACCUCAUAGUAUGUGAGGAUGGCAUCAUUUUCACAUUAAAGUCACAACGGCAAAAGAUGAGCAUGCGUCCCAUUAGCUAGUUGGUAAGGUAACGGCUUACCAAGGCUACGAUGGGUAGGGGUCCUGAGAGGGAGAUCCCCCCACACUGGUACUGAGACACGGACCAGACUCCUACGGGAGGCAGCAGUGAGGAAUAUUGGACAAUGGGCGCAAGCCUGAUCCAGCCAUGCCGCGUGCAGGAUGACGGUCCUAUGGAUUGUAAACUGCUUUUGUACAGGAAGAAACACUACUUCGUGAAGUAGCUUGACGGUACUGUAAGAAUAAGGAUCGGCUAACUCCGUG